Molecule: ribosomal RNA, 253 nt
Filed under: uncultured prokaryote
Description: partial 16S ribosomal RNA
Rfam family: Bacterial small subunit ribosomal RNA
Source: RNAcentral
ACGUAGGGACCGAGCGUUGUCCGGAAUCAUUGGGCGUAAAGAGCGUGUAGGCGGCCUUUCAAGUCCUGCGUGAAAUCCUGCGGCUCAACCGCAGACGGUCGUGGGAAACUGGAAGGCUAGAGUGCGGGAGAGGAGAGUGGAAUUCCCGGUGUAGCGGUGAAAUGCGCAGAUAUCGGGAAGAACACCCGUGGCGAAGGCGGUCUGCUGGGCCGUUGCUGACGCUGAGGCGCGACAGCGUGGGGAGCAAACAGGA